Non-coding RNA from Meleagris gallopavo (turkey), 4790 nucleotides. Lineage: Eukaryota; Metazoa; Chordata; Aves; Galliformes; Phasianidae. The record is from RefSeq and is a predicted model, not a curated record.
CGGAAACUUUCCCCUCUUCCUCUGUUCCCGCCCGGCGACCGCACAACAACGGGGCAAAAUGGCGGCGCCCACGAACGAGGAGGGUCCCGCUUCGGAGCCCGGCGCCGCUCCUUACGGGAACUUCCCCAAUUACUCCCGCUUCCACCCGCCCGAGGGCCGCCUCCGCCUGUUACCCGAAGGACUCCUGCGGCAGCUGUUCCCCUCGGACGCCCGCCCGCUGCUGGGGCUCGACGUGGGCUGCAAUUCCGGGGAGCUGAGCGUGGCUCUGUACCGGCAUCUGCUCGGCCUUCAGGAGGGCAAAGGAAGCCCAGAGCAGCCUGCAGAUGGGAAGGAUCUGCACCUUCUGUGCUGCGACAUUGAUCCGGUGCUCAUCGAGAGGGCUCAGCAGAGCAGCCCCUUCCCUAACUCCAUAUCCUUUGCCAACUUGGACAUCAUGGACUCCAGCUCCAGAGAGCCGUUUCUCACCUCCUACCUGAGCCGUUUUGGCCGUUCUACCUUUGACAUCAGCUUUUGCAUGUCUGUGACCAUGUGGAUCCACUUGAACCACGGGGACAGAGGCCUGGUGGAGUUCCUGGCCUUCCUGUCCUCUCAGUGCAGGUACUUGCUGAUUGAACCCCAGCCUUGGAAGUGCUACAGAGCAGCUGCCCGCCGCCUGCGGAAGCUGGGCAGGAACGACUUCGAUCACUUCCGAUCUCUUGCCAUCAAUGGGGAUAUGGCAGAGAGGAUCACACAGAUCUUAACAAGGGACUGCACCAUGGAGCUGGUGUGCUGCUUUGGGAGCACCAGCUGGGACAGAAGCCUCUUGCUUUUUAAAUCAAAUGGCUCAAAUCACGACGGCAGGGAGCCUUCAGAACAGCAGCAGUGACUGACAAAGGGGCUCUUGUGCUCCUGAGUUUGUAGGCAAGAUACAGAGUCACAUACAGGAUUCCUACAUCCCUAUCGGGUUCAGAUCUUGACCUUCCUAGGGAGUUUGGGGCAACUAAUAUCUGUGCAUUGUUAUGUCUGUUCUUUUUCCUCUUCACAUCUGCAAAAUGUGGUGGCAGUUCUGACCUAUCUUGUGGGUUCUGAGGUUGCUGUUCCUAGAAAGUGCUGUUGAAAUCCAAGCUGCUAUAUAUAUCGUGAUUUCUUACCAAGAAUGUUCCCUGGAAGAAGGGAGAACUUGCCUUUUUUUUUUUUUUCCCCACACAGCUUUUGGAGGAAAGAGGAGGCAAAUCCAUUUCUACUGACUCAUGUGAUGCAGUUUGUUCUGCUUCUUGUUGUGUUUUCUAGAUAGAAGGCUUAAGGAAAACACACAGCCUGCUUUACCAGCCAUGAAUGAGUAAGUUGGAUCAUUGCAGAAUGUGUCUGGUUGGUAUCUUGGUCACACUGUGUCCUGUGCACCUUUACAGAUGGGAUUUGCCUGGUUUGGAAGCUCAGUGGUGUGAACUUUCUUUGGAGUGAAGGAUUUCCUUGAAGAGCAUGUAUUCAUUGAAGAGUAUAACAAAGUUAUAUAUGAAUCCCACUUAUCUCUUUGAUAAUGAAGCACCUAUGACGUUGGCUGCAAUCUAUGGCUCGCUGCUUUUGUUCUCCAGGAAGGUGUCAUGAGAUGAGACAGCUGGGAGCCCAGCUCCAUGACACAGCAACAGAAGAAAGCCUGUGGAUCUCAGCUGCUGUGCUUAUGAGGAGGCUGGAUCCUGAGCAAGCCCAGCAGGGGGACCCUCCAUGCAAGAGGGGCUGCCUGGCCCCAUAAAUCCUGACCCCCUCCCGGCGUUCCCAACCCUGUUUGCUUCCUGCGUCAGUGCUCCCGGUUGCUCAGCCACUAGCUCACACAACAUCUGCCUGUGGCAUCGUGGCUCUGGUCUGGACAAGCUCACCUUUCCAGGUCUCAGAGAUAACCUCCCAUGCUGGAAAGAGGAGCAUCCCACUCUCUACUGAGACCUGUUGGAGGUUCCCACAGACUCCCACUGCCAGCAGGUGAUGUUGUUGCUCUGUGACGUGAAUGCUGUGUGUGCAGUGGGGAGAAUAGGUCAGGAGGUGCUGGGAAAUGAGCAGCACCAUCGUUUGGAUUCAUGCCUUCCAUGGAACAAAACGUCGUCCUCCUCCAUGUACUGAUCCCCAUCCUCUCUGCCCCCACAUCAGUGCUCUGUCCUCCUGGAGGGCUGUGCAGGAUUAUAUAUGGGCAAACACCAAAAGGCCAACCCAAUUUCCAUUUUGUUUCAGGUAAGGCUUCUUUCAGACCCGUGACAGCCUUGUGGAAACGCAGGUAUUUGGGUGGGGAGUGCGUUGAAGCAGCAGCUGCUGUGAGUCCCUGGUAUGCCUGGAGGUGGAGGCGUGGGACCUAUUGGCACUCCCACCCCAUAAGCCCAAGGGCAGUGAGCUGACACAACUCUCCUGGAAUCUGUCCCGCUCUAACCAGGAUUGUUGGCAGGCAGGCACCGAAUCUUGGCAGCACAACAAGAGAAUGCUGGUUUCUCUGAAAUUCCUGGGCUCGUUUGGUCAGGGUGCUGGCAUGCAGAGCCGGGGAAGAGUUGGCACGUGCGUGGCUGCAGCAGAGCAGUGGGGCCUGGAAAUGGACUGAGGGCUGGCAGCUCAGGAUCUCUCCUGCAUCCCUACCAGCUGGUAGCAGCUUUGGGUCUUGAUGGGGUUUUUGAAUGUUCUUAAUUUCGUCACUAAUCUGUAAGUGGUAGUCCAAUUUUGUCCUUCAUUUCUCCUCUCAGGGUGAGCUGCCAUGCCAGGCCUGGGAGCCACUGUGCUAAUAGGCUGUCAGCCCCAUCACACCAGUUCUGGCAGUGCUGGGAAUCCCACCAGUGACUGGGAAAUGGCUCCCUCCAGCUCCUGUUCCCCUAACCCAAAGGUAGGCUGAGGGCAUCCCAAAGCUGCAGCUCCUUUAGCAGGUCUGCACAGGCACUGCUGUCUCCCAGGCACUAUUUGGGAGGUAGAGACCCUAGGGCUGCCCUGUGCAAGUGAAGCACAGGUGGAGGUGGAAACAAAGCAGCCAGGCUGGCUGCAGUACAGAACAAGAGGUUUUUUCACAUGUCUGGGACAGUGAAUGACUGGAAAUAGUUGGAAGAAAGGUGGGAUUUGUGAGAUGCAACAACUGUGUUGGGGCAGCCCUCCCUUGCAGCACUCAAACUGAGCUCAUUCACAAGGAGUCUAAAGGGCUGCAAGAGAGGAAAGCCCCAGCUAUGCUCUGUGCCCAAUGGUAGAUUCAUACAGGGCAGAAUUUCCCUAUCUUGUGCCAGUUUGGAGCAAGACUAUGCGAAUUCUGUCUCCUUGCCCUGCUGCAGGUAGAGCUUGGCAUGCCUGCCUGAGGAGGCAGGGCGUGGGAGGGAAGGUUGGGCCUUGGCAAACUGGGCAUGGUUCAGGUGUUUGCCUUCCUCCUGGAUUGGCCAAGGAGAGAAGAACUUGGCCUUAUAUGGUCAAAAAAGCCUAUGCCGGCGGUGCUCCUCCCUGUGAAGAGACACGUGGGGAGGUGUGGAUGGGCUGAUGGGGUCAGGCGUGUUUUCCUCCAUCCUCCCCUGCUCUCCCUUUCCUUCUCCAGAUACCCUGGAGACAAUUAUGGCAUUUGCUUUGCAGCCAAACGUGGCUGAUUCCUGGGGCUUGCAAAAAGGCUGCUUCCCUCAGCGGGUGCUGCUGGUUUUGUGUGCCCCCAAGAGCUGAGAGGUGAUGGAUGGGCACAAAAUGGUGCCUGUGGUCAGAGUUGGGUAUUUCAUCAAGCUCGGGUAUCUGGGAAGAUGGUAGUAGUGGUACAAAUCAUUGCUUCUCUGCUGGUUAAACCUCUUUGCUGCUUGUUUAAUUGCCUGCGGGAGUGUCUGGUUAGGAAAGCUAAACUAUAGCACAGCCCCCCUCCCCAAAAAGAAACCACAAAAAGGCCUGAUCCUGUCUUAGACUGCAGACAAAGAUGCGUGGGAGAAACUGAGGCACAGUCCAAGAUAAUAUAGGAAGAAAUAUCUAUCACAGCUCUUCUCUUUGCACAGGAUUGAGGGAGUUCUGUUUCCCAGCGGCUGGGUUCUUGGGCUGAGCCACUUCCAGCCCUGGCAAUGACUGUGCCAGUGGCAGGUUGGGAGGUGAGCCUGGGGGAUCUGUCUUUCUCCCCUUAUCUUGCACCCUGUGUCUUGGAGUUGCUCCAGAUGUGAGCUGGAAUCAGGAGGAGCAGUUAUGGGUGAAGUGGGACGGGCAGAUUAAAGUGGGCUGAAGAUUGGAGGGUGCUUAGGGGUAGGUGCAGUGGGGGGACCUACUGCAGCAGGACAGGGAACAAGGUGCAGUGGAAAGUCUGUAGAGCUCUGGGGACAUCUCUUUUCCACCCCAGGAACAUGUUUCCAUCUCAAUUCCCACACUUUUAAUAUCAUGGAACGUGUGAAAGUUUUUGCCAUCCCUCUGGUACGAAGCAUGAACCUCACUUGCACUGAUUUCCCUCAUCUAAAUUUCCUUGCACCUCUGAGCCUGGCUGCUUAGUGUCCUGCAUUGGGUCCAGGUCUGUGAUAUGUUUAAUUGGAGCCUCAUAAAGCUCUCUUUGCUUCUCCUGAAGGAACGUGGCUGAAUCUGGAGGGGGUAGAAACGUGUGAGAAGACAGACAGCUGUCCAGCUACAGCCCCGUGCUCUUCUCCCUGAGGAUCUGGACCAAGCAAAGUGUCUGGGGAGCGAUUUCAGCUUUGUUUGCCUGUGAGGGAUUAACUGGAGUUCUCAACCCUGGCAGCUGAGGAAGGAAUUGCCAUUUCAGAAACAUGGAAAUGCUGCGAUGCACUCAAUGGAGAUGCACCAUGAGACUGAUAACAGCUCCUGUGAACUCAGGUGGGGCUACAUGGCAGUGA